GCACAAUGUGAAAAUUCUCCCAGCCGAUUCAGAACAUUCUGCCAUAUUCCAGUGUAUCCAGGGCUUGCCAGAGGGUGCACUUAGACGCAUCAUCUUGACUGCAUCUGGAGGAGCCUUCAGGGAUUGGGAUGUUGAAAGGCUGAAAGAAGUGAAAGUUGCUGAUGCUUUGAAACAUCCAAAUUGGAAUAUGGGGAAGAAGAUUACAGUAGACUCUGCUACUCUUUUCAACAAGGGUCUAGAAGUUAUUGAAGCUCACUAUCUAUUUGGGGCUGAAUAUGAUGAUGUUGAGAUUGUAAUCCAUCCACAAUCAAUCAUUCACUCGAUGAUUGAGACACAGGAUUCAUCAGUGCUGGCUCAGUUGGGAUGGCCUGAUAUGCGCUUACCAAUUCUUUACACGAUGUCUUGGCCAGAGAGAAUUUAUUGCUCAGAGAAAACAUGGCCUCGACUUGAUCUUUGCAAGCUAGGCUCUCUAACAUUUAAAGCUCCUGAUAAUGUGAAAUACCCAUCAAUGGAUCUCGCCUAUGCUGCUGGGCGGGCUGGAGGCACCAUGACCGGUGUCCUCAGUGCUGCUAAUGAGAAGGCUGUUGAGUUGUUUAUCGACGAAAAAAUUAGCUAUCUGGACAUUUUUAAGGUUGUGGAGGCAACAUGCGACGCACAUCGGAACGAGUUGGUCCUUCAUCCUACUCUGGAGGAGAUCAUUCACUAUGACCUGUGGGCUCGAGACUUUGCAGCUAAUUUAAAACUAUCUUCUGGCUUGAGUCCAGUUCCUGUAUGAGUUCUUACUUCAUCUAGUUCA
RNAcentral lists this unclassified non-coding RNA (796 nucleotides) under Hevea brasiliensis (rubber tree). Lineage: Eukaryota; Viridiplantae; Streptophyta; Magnoliopsida; Malpighiales; Euphorbiaceae. The record is from RNAcentral.